RNAcentral lists this small RNA (567 nucleotides) under Pongo abelii (Sumatran orangutan). RNAcentral's name for it is "retained intron". Lineage: Eukaryota; Metazoa; Chordata; Mammalia; Primates; Hominidae. The record is from RNAcentral.
CCGGGUCGAAGGGCUUGCUUCCGGAGAGCGGGAAGGCUAAAACGCGGUAGCUAAACUGGAGUCAACGUUGGUUCUGUGUGGAAAAGGCUUUAGCCAUGGACAGGAGUGGCUUUGGAGAUAUAUCAUCCCCUGUAAUCCGGGAGGCAGAGGUGACACGGACUGCACGGAAACAGAGUGCUCAGAAAAGAGUUUUAAUUCAGGCAUCUCAAGAUGAAAAUUUUGGUAAUACUACACCAAGAAACCAGGUUAUCCCUCGAACUCCUAGCUCAUUUCGACAGCCUUGUAAGAUUUUUUGCUUUUAAAGCAUUUAAUAAUGUAAUUAUAAUAGCAACUAACAUUUAUUGUAACAUAAGUAUAGUAUUUGGUUACAAUAUCAAUAAGCAUUAAUAAUAAUGAUUGCAGUUAUUAUUUGUUUGAACUCUUGCCAUGUACAAGGUACUGUACUUUACAUAAACACAUGGUAACUAUGACAUGGGUAUUGUUAGCCCUGUUUUACCAAAACUGAAAGCGAGACUUAGAGAAGUUAACUAAUAUAGGCAAUAAGUAUGUUAAGUAGGCUGGAUGCAG